This 263-nucleotide ribosomal RNA is filed under the name uncultured bacterium. Its description in RNAcentral is "partial 16S ribosomal RNA". It matches the Rfam family "Bacterial small subunit ribosomal RNA", at positions 793 to 1055 of the family's 1533-position model. The record is from RNAcentral.
GUCCACGCUGUAAACGUUGUGCACUAGGUGUCGGGGGUAUUCACCCCUCCGGUGCCGUAGCUAACGUAUUAAGUGCACCGCCUGGGGAGUACGGCCGCAAGGCUAAAACUCAAAGGAAUUGACGGGGCCCGCACAAGCGGUGGAGCAUGUUGUUUAAUUCGAUGCAUCGCGAAGAACCUUACCUGGGCUUGACAUCUGGGGAAUCCCCUUGAAAGAGGGGAGUGCCUUCGGGAACCCCAAGACAGGUGUUGCAUGGCUGUCGU